Molecule: ribosomal RNA, 460 nt
Filed under: uncultured bacterium
Lineage: Bacteria
Description: partial 16S ribosomal RNA
Rfam family: Bacterial small subunit ribosomal RNA
Source: RNAcentral
CCUACGGGUGGCAGCAGUGAGGAAUAUUGGUCAAUGGACGAGAGUCUGAACCAGCCAAGUAGCGUGAAGGAUGACUGCCCUAUGGGUUGUAAACUUCUUUUAUAAAGGAAUAAAACGAGGCACGUGUGCCUUUUUGCAUGUACUUUAUGAAUAAGGAUCGGCUAACUCCGUGCCAGCAGCCGCGGUAAUACGGAGGAUCCGAGCGUUAUCCGGAUUUAUUGGGUUUAAAGGGAGCGUAGAUGGGUUGUUAAGUCAGUUGUGAAAGUUUGCGGCUCAACCGUAAAAUUGCAAUUGAUACUGGCAGUCUUGAGUGGGCGAGAAGUAUGCGGAAUGCGUGGUGUAGCGGUGAAAUGCAUAGAUAUCACGCAGAACUCCGAUUGCGAAGGCAGCAUACCGGCGCCCAACUGACGCUGAAGCACGAAAGCGUGGGUAUCGAACAGGAUUAGAUACCCUUGUAGUC